This 225-nucleotide ribosomal RNA is filed under the name uncultured bacterium. Its description in RNAcentral is "partial 16S ribosomal RNA". It matches the Rfam family "Bacterial small subunit ribosomal RNA", at positions 116 to 334 of the family's 1533-position model. The record is from RNAcentral.
UUUAGACAAUCUUCCCUCGAGUGGGAAACAACCUGGCGAAAGUCGGGCUAAUGUCCCAUAAGACCACAGAGUGGCAUCAUUCAGAGGUCAAAGGUCCGCAAGGGCCGCUGGAGGAGGAGUCUAAAUCCUAUCAUGGUAGUUGGUGAGGUAACGGCUCACCAAGCCUACGACGGGUAGCCGGCCUGAAAGGGUGAUCGGCCACACUGGCACUGAGACACGGGCCAG